Non-coding RNA from Cinara cedri, 337 nucleotides. The record is from the annotation of a GenBank genome assembly. Lineage: Eukaryota; Metazoa; Arthropoda; Insecta; Hemiptera; Aphididae.
UACACUUACUCACCCACCUGGUGAAAGUUUUAACUAACUUCAAAGAAAGGGAGCGACAGUGGUGGACUAAUGGGGAGUUUAGGGCCAUAGCCUAUCUACUCCUUUAAAAUUUGUUCAGAUCAUCCUAUAAUGCUGCCUCUUUUAUUUGCCAGGAUUUCCUCUAAUAGGAAUAACUUCAAAUGUCAAACUCCUUCCCACGAGUGUUAACCUCAAAUUACAGCGUUAAUUGUUAGUUCCACCAACUUAUGUAAAACUUUGUAUAUAUAAGUGAAUAAUUUAAACUAAUAACAAAGCAAUUUCAGAAUAAUGGUGUUGGAGCCAGUGCGUUUUUAGUACA